AGUGAACGCUGGCGGUAGGCCUAACACAUGCAAGUCGAACGGCAGCACAGUAAGAGCUUGCUCUUACGGGUGGCGAGUGGCGGACGGGUGAGGAAUACAUCGGAAUCUACUUUUUCGUGGGGGUUAACGUAGGGAAACUUACGCUAAUACCGCAUACGACCUACGGGUGAAAGCAGGGGAUCUUCGGACCUUGCGCGAUUGAAUGAGCCGAUGUCGGAUUAGCUAGUUGGCGGGGUAAAGGCCCACCAAGGCGACGAUCCGUAGCUGGUCUGAGAGGAUGAUCAGCCACACUGGAACUGGGACACGGUCCAGACUCCUACGGGAGGCAGCAGUGGGGAAUAUGGGACAAUGGGCGGAAGCCUGAUCCAGCCAGACCGCGUGGGUGGAGGAGGCCUUCGGGUUGUAAAGCCCUUUUGUUGGGAAAGAAAAGCAGCAGGUUAAUACCCCGCUGUUCUGACGGUACCCAAAGAAUAAGCACCGGCUAACUUCGUG
This 492-nucleotide ribosomal RNA is filed under the name uncultured bacterium. RNAcentral describes it as "partial 16S ribosomal RNA". It matches the Rfam family "Bacterial small subunit ribosomal RNA", at positions 29 to 507 of the family's 1533-position model. The record is from RNAcentral.